Sebastes umbrosus (honeycomb rockfish) is the source of this 520-nucleotide non-coding RNA. The record is from the annotation of a RefSeq genome assembly. Lineage: Eukaryota; Metazoa; Chordata; Actinopteri; Perciformes; Sebastidae.
AUAGUCAAAGCUGUCAGCAGUGAGAGGGAAACAGCUUGAUGUGUUGAGGACAGCUACAGUUCACUGACUCUGUGUGUUUGCAUAUGUGUCCUGCCUCUCUGCUCCCAGCCGUUAAGAGGCCAGUGUUGAUCAGUGGCUGUCCAGGCCUUUCAGAGACACAAUGAUGAUGUCACUGAUUCUACUGCUGGCCACCCUGGGGCUCCUUGUUCAGGAUUCAUCAGGAGAAAUCAUCCUUACUCAGUCUCCUGGAUCUCAGUCUGUUGUUCCAGGACAGACUGUCUCCAUCAAAUGUAAAGCCAGUUCAAGUGUUAGCUAUGACUUGCAGUGGUACCUUCAGAAACCUGGAGAAGCUCCUAAACUCCUGAUUUAUAAUGCUCAAUCCCGUCAGUCUGGAGUUUCUGAUCGUUUCAGUGGGAGUCAGUCUGGGACUGACUUCACUCUGACCAUCAGUGGAGUUCAGACAGCGGAUGCAGGAGUUUACUACUGUCAGCAGGAUAGCAGCUUCCCGUUCACACAGUGA